AUUGAUUUUAUGCUUGCAUAAAUGAUUUUUGGAUUCGGAGCGAGUGGCGAACUGGUGAGUAACACGUGGGUAACCUGCCCCGAAGCGGGGGAUAACAUUUGGAAACAAGUGCUAAUACCGCAUAAUUAGUUGGAACCGCAUGGUUCCAACUUGAAAGAUGGCUCUGCUAUCACUUUGGGAUGGACCCGCGCCGUAUUAGUUAGUUGGUGAGAUAAAAGCCCACCAAGACGAUGAUACGUAGCCGACCUGAGAGGGUAAUCGGCCACAUUGGGACUGAGACACGGCCCAGACUCCUACGGGAGGCAGCAGUAGGGAAUCUUCCACAAUGGACGAAAGUCUGAUGGAGCAACGCCGCGUGAGUGAUGAAGGUUUUCGGAUCGUAAAACUCUGUUGUUAAAGAAGAACAAGUGUUAGAGUAACUGUUAACACUUUGACGGUAUUUAACCAGAAAGCCACGGCUAACUACGUGCCAGCAGCCGCGGUAAUACGUAGGUGGCAAGCGUUGUCCGGAUUUAUUGGGCGUAAAGCGAGCGCAGGCGGUUUUGUAAGUCUGCUGUGAAAGCCCUCAGCUCAACUGAGGAAGUGCAGUGGAAACUACAAAACUUGAGUACAGAAGAGGAAAGUGGAACUCCAUGUGUAGCGGUGAAAUGCGUAGAUAUAUGGAAGAACACCAGUGGCGAAGGCGGCUUUCUGGUCUGUUACUGACGCUGAGGCUCGAAAGCAUGGGUAGCGAACAGGAUUAGAUACCCUGGUAGUCCAUGCCGUAAACGAUGAAUACUAGGUGUUGGAGGGUUUCCGCCCUUCAGUGCCGCAGCUAACGCAUUAAGUAUUCCGCCUGGGGAGUACGACCGCAAGGUUGAAACUCAAAGGAAUUGACGGGGGCCCGCACAAGUGGUGGAGCAUGUGGUUUAAUUCGAUGCUACGCGAAGAACCUUACCAGCUCUUGACAUCUUCUGCCAACCCAAGAGAUUGGGCGUUCCCUUCGGGGACAGAAUGACAGGUGGUGCAUGGUUGUCGUCAGCUCGCGUCGUGAGAUGUUGGGUUAAGUCCCGCAACGAGCGCAACCCUUAUUAUUAGUUGCCAGCAUUUAGUUGGGCACUCUAGUGAGACUGCCGGUGAUAAA
This 1123-nucleotide ribosomal RNA is filed under the name uncultured bacterium. Its description in RNAcentral is "bacterial SSU rRNA". It matches the Rfam family "Bacterial small subunit ribosomal RNA", at positions 47 to 1162 of the family's 1533-position model. The record is from RNAcentral.